CAGUAGCCGCGGUAAUACGUAGGGUGCAAGCGUUAAUCGGAAUUACUGGGCGUAAAGCGUGCGCAGGCGGUUUGUUAAGACAGAUGUGAAAUCCCCGGGCUCAACCUGGGAACUGCAUUUGUGACUGGCAAGCUAGAGUCUGGCAGAGGGGGGUGGAAUUCCGCGUGUAGCAGUGAAAUGCGUAGAUAUGCGGAGGAACACCAGUGGCGAAGGCGGCCAUCUGGGACAACACUGACGCUGAGGCACGAAAGCGUGGGGAGCAAACAGGAUUAGAUACCCGGGUAGUCCCUGUCUCUUAUAC
Molecule: ribosomal RNA, 301 nt
Filed under: uncultured bacterium
Lineage: Bacteria
Description: partial 16S ribosomal RNA
Rfam family: Bacterial small subunit ribosomal RNA
Source: RNAcentral